Anneissia japonica is the source of this 321-nucleotide long non-coding RNA. RefSeq lists it as uncharacterized. The record is from RefSeq and is a predicted model, not a curated record. The transcript has 3 exons. NCBI's taxonomy places the organism in Eukaryota, Metazoa, Echinodermata, Crinoidea, Comatulida, Comatulidae.
AAAUUGGACAACUCAGCAGCAGUUUACUGGGGUAAUUAAGUUUCUAUCAGAUUCAAAUGCCGAGCUGUUGCAGAAACAGAAAGAACUACAGUAGUGUUGGGCGACGACAAGCCAUAUGAUUCUUCGGAGGCUGUAGACGAUUCUAGUAAAUCAGCUUCAGUAAAUUCACUGCCGAACACACUAAAUACUGGCCCUGGGCCUCUCCAGAAACAGGAUUCGCUAGCUCUGCCUCCGGACUCGCCAGCUGUGUCAUCGGAAUCACCACCUCCAUCACCGGAACUGCCUCCGCAACUAGAACCGCUACCUUCAUCGCCAGAAUUG